Molecule: ribosomal RNA, 301 nt
Filed under: uncultured bacterium
Lineage: Bacteria
Description: partial 16S ribosomal RNA
Rfam family: Archaeal small subunit ribosomal RNA
Source: RNAcentral
CAGCAGCCGCGGGAAUACCAGCACCUCGAGUGGUCAGGAGGUUUAUUGGGCCUAAAGCAUCCGUAGCCGGUUGCAUAAGUUUUCGGUUAAAUCUAUGCGCUUAACGUAUAGGCCGCCGAAAAUACUGUGCAGCUAGGGAGUGGGAGAGGUACACGGUACUCGAUAGGAAGGGGUAAAAUCCUUUGAUCUAUUGAUGACCACCUGUGGCGAAGGCGGUGUACCAGAACACGUUCGACGGUGAGGGAUGAAAGCUGGGGGAGCAAACCGGAUUAGAUACCCCCGUAGUCCCUGUCUCUUAUAC